RNAcentral lists this ribosomal RNA (253 nucleotides) under uncultured bacterium. RNAcentral describes it as "partial 16S ribosomal RNA". It matches the Rfam family "Bacterial small subunit ribosomal RNA", at positions 524 to 776 of the family's 1533-position model. The record is from RNAcentral.
UACGAGGGGGGCAAGCGUUGUUCGGAUUUAUUGGGCGUAAAGAGCGUGUAGGCGGCCAGGGAGGUCCGUUGUGAAAACUCGAGGCUCAACCUCGAGACGCCGAUGGAAACCCCCUGGCUAGAGUCCGGAAGAGGAGAAUGGAAUUCCUGGUGUAGCGGUGAAAUGCGCAGAUAUCAGGAAGAACACCCGUGGCUAAGGCGGUUCUCUAGUACGGUACUGACGCUGAGACGCGAAAGCGUGGGGAGCGAACAGG